RNAcentral lists this long non-coding RNA (603 nucleotides) under Zostera marina. RNAcentral describes it as "long non-coding RNA (ZMAR_LNC004374)". Lineage: Eukaryota; Viridiplantae; Streptophyta; Magnoliopsida; Alismatales; Zosteraceae. The record is from RNAcentral.
UAUGUAAUUCCCCUAUAAAGGACACCAUAUGUAGUUUUACAUGGAUCGAAAUAAAAACUAAAAAUUUCCCCUAAUCGCCCCACGACAUUCCACUACCGCCGUCGACGAUCAGUUCCUUCCGUUCAUCAUCGAUCCCGCUUCUCACUGCCUCGAUCCAGCUCGAUUCGCUGCUCCAGACCAGGAACGCCCGAUCUGAUCUUCCAGUGAUCCGCUCGAGAGGAUUUACGGUCUCAGACCAACGCCCCGUCUCUUUUCUUGAUCGGUUUCCGAUUCAAACUUGAGGUCUUCAUCCAGGUCCAAUUAAUCCUUGAUUAGAGACAUCCUCCGACUCACUUCGAUACCGGAUUCGAUACCGGAUUCGAUCCCGUAUCAGAACCCAUACAUCGAGAUGUUUAGAUUUGGGAUAACAUUGGAGAUCGACUCUCUACUGCUAUGGUCCUCUGGUUCCAGUUGGUGUCCGGAAUAUAAUAUUUUCAUCUAUCUUAUCCUUCGGGACCUUUAAAAUCACUUCGACAUGACCUUCGCCCAUCAGGUCCACAGUUUCCUACUCGAAUAAAUUUAAAUCAGCCUCUUUUAUAGUUAUCUUAAUGUCCAACAUGGUCU